AAGUUAUCGAGAGCAGUCGCUUCCCCGCCGUCGUGCCGGACCCACGUCCGUCAUGGCGUCCCUCAAGAUUAUUGCGUUGUCCGCGUUCUGCUUCCAGCUGGCGCUUCUCUCAGAACCGCCGUGCGUGAUGGAGCUGGAGUGCGCGGAGUGCGUGCCGGAGAACAUGCCGGUGGUGACGUCGCACCGCGCGGCCAACGGGUCGGUGCGCGCGCGCGCGGGCGAGGAGCUCGCGCUGGCGUGCGCGGGCGGCAAGUUCCUCGCCUACCCGCUGCACGAGUCGCUGCGCGCCGUGUGCGAGGCGGGCCGCUACCGCGUGGCGCUCGACCGCAAGCUGCGGCACCUGCUCGAGCUCGGCUGCCAGGAGAGCGUGUUCGAGGACGUGCUGCACCAGGUAGACCGAUGUGGAGCUCCGUAUCAGGGGCGAGCGUACCAGAUGCGGGAGCCGAUCACGGGCACGGUGCGGCACCUGGCGACCGUCUGCUACGACGAAGACCGCGCCGUGGCCAUCAGGAUGCACGUCACCAACGCUGCCAGGAACCACCUACAACUGCCGCCGCACGAGGACCACACCGCGCCGCUCAGCCUCCUUGGAAACUUCAACCACAUGUUCGACGCGAAAACCCGCCAUGACGCAGAGAAACUGUAUUCAGAUGACGCGAGAAUGAACCGGCGGCUUCACGAGUUGUUCAAGCACGAUAAAUACUCGUUCGCCGCACAGAAACUCACGUCAGCCAACCUGCUCAGCAAACACUACUUCGAAGAUCAGAACAUGCGCGUGACCGACUUCGUGUCAAACAAAGUGGCGGUGUGGGAGUCGGUGGCGGAGGGCAACCUGCGGCACCUGCAGCGGGACGUGGCCAAGCUGCUGGAGAUGGCGCGGCCGCACGAGGAGCUGGAGGUGUACGCGGGCACGCACGGCGUACUGUCGCUGCGCGCGGGCCACGCGCGGGCGGUAGUGUUCCCUGCGCGCGGCGCGGCUCCCCGUGCCGCGGUUCGUGUGGACGGCGGUGGUGGCGCGGGCGCGGCGCGCGGGCGUGGCGCUGGUGCUGCUCAACGACCCGUUCGUGGCGGUGAGCGAGGUGCGCGCGGCGGUGUUCUGCGACAGCGCGUGCGGCGGCGUGGCGUGGCUGCACGAGCUGCGCCGCCACCGCAACUACGAGUGCCCGCUGCAGGGCCUCGUGUUCUGCUGCCAUCUGCACAACUUCACCAGCGUCGUGUCCGAGAUGCCGCUCGACGAAGUGCAGGUCGACGCCGGGGUCGCCGGCAUGCUCAAUAAUAACCUCUUUGUUUAGAACUAUUUUACUAAAAUACGGACUCCUUAUCGGGUUCGCCUAUUAAAAUAUCAAUGUCGCGAAAGAAAUGUCGUUAUCGCAAGCUUUUUCUGUUCAAGAAAAUUAAGUAUUGAAAUACUUACAAUAUAAUAUCAACAGUUUGUUCAAUAAAAGAAACAAUAUUAUAUUUUUAAAAGAACUUUAUUAAAAAAAA
Molecule: small RNA, 1485 nt
Filed under: Manduca sexta (tobacco hornworm)
Lineage: Eukaryota; Metazoa; Arthropoda; Insecta; Lepidoptera; Sphingidae
Description: uncharacterized LOC115451361
Source: RNAcentral